Molecule: non-coding RNA, 697 nt
Organism: Paramuricea clavata
Lineage: Eukaryota; Metazoa; Cnidaria; Anthozoa; Malacalcyonacea; Plexauridae
Source: the annotation of a GenBank genome assembly
GGCCAAAAUUAAAUUACACCCGGCCAAGGCCAUGUAUGCUGUGGCUAAAUUGAGGAAUACGGAACCUAACGUUUGUUUAUAAUUCAUACUUAUGAACCAAAUUUAAAUUUUUAGAUGGGGCAAAUUUAGGUUAUUUGUUGCGUAAAUUUUUUAAAAAAAACAGACCUUUUUUAAUGUUUUAGUCAAAUUUUUUCACUUUUUUUCUUUUUCCAAUUUUUCUUUAAAUUGUUAAGGGUAAGUCUUUUUCCUUUGCAACACUUUCAAGUUUAAGUGUUGCGACCAUAUCCACGUACGUACUUCAUCUUCGAGACGACCGGCCGAGCUUGAAAAAAGUGCCCAGAAAAUACUGUCCAUGGCAUUAUUUAUUGCUGUCUCAGGCAACUCCCUACUCUUGACAUGUUUCCAGAUUUGUACUCGCUCCAGUCUUUUUUCGGAUUUAAGUAUAGUCGAAAUCUUAAUCUGGGUUUUGCCCGGUAAUAUUUCCUAUUCUCGGGGUGGGGCGGGGGGGGGGGGCAUUGCGCAAGAGAGGGUUGUGAAGUGAGGGGAAUUAAAAUGUUGACACUUGGAUUGACAACAUGUGUUCGAAGCAUAUUAGAUAUAUUACAGUUUGCAAACUAAAAUACGGAUUUUUGGAACAAAAUAGAUCAGGUUAGUAUGACUAAUUUAUUUCUAUUUGAUUCUGCUAGUGAUAUUUUAU